This 479-nucleotide ribosomal RNA is filed under the name uncultured bacterium. Its description in RNAcentral is "bacterial SSU rRNA". It matches the Rfam family "Bacterial small subunit ribosomal RNA", at positions 23 to 507 of the family's 1533-position model. The record is from RNAcentral.
CUCAGGACGAACGCUGGCGGCAUGCCUAAUACAUGCAAGUCGAACGCUGAAGCACUCUGCUUGCAGAGUGCGGAUGAGUGGCGAACGGGUGAGUAACACGUGGGAAAUCUGCCUAGGAGUGGGGGAUAACAUUCGGAAACGGAUGCUAAUACCGCAUAUCUUUUUUGAACCGCAUGGUUCUUAAACGAAAGACGGCUUCGGCUGUCGCUCUUAGAUGAUCCCGCGGCGUAUUAGUUAGUUGGUGGGGUAAAGGCCUACCAAGACCAUGAUACGUAGCCGAACUGAGAGGUUGAUCGGCCACAUUGGGACUGAGACACGGCCCAGACUCCUACGGGAGGCAGCAGUGGGGAAUAUUGCACAAUGGGGGAAACCCUGAUGCAGCGACGCCGCGUGGAGGAAGAAGGUCUUCGGAUUGUAAACUCCUGUUGUUGAGGAAGAUAAUGACGGUACUCAACAAGGAAGUGACGGCUAACUACGUG